AAGCUAUCCUCCAUUGGGAGUUAAAAUUUGUUGGAAGGAGAUUUUGGAGUGGUUGUUAAUCAAGUUCCUUGGGGUCGUUUCUUCAAAUCGCGGUCAUCGUUUGGCUGUCGGAGUUUAUCUGUGGAAUUUCGAUUAAGGUAAGGGUAGAGAUGCACCGGCGAUGGCUCAGCGGAAUUCGUGAUUAUGCCACUGGG
Benincasa hispida (wax gourd) is the source of this 194-nucleotide non-coding RNA. NCBI's taxonomy places the organism in Eukaryota, Viridiplantae, Streptophyta, Magnoliopsida, Cucurbitales, Cucurbitaceae. The record is from RefSeq and is a predicted model, not a curated record.